Molecule: ribosomal RNA, 285 nt
Filed under: Salmonella enterica subsp. enterica serovar Cerro
Lineage: Bacteria; Pseudomonadati; Pseudomonadota; Gammaproteobacteria; Enterobacterales; Enterobacteriaceae
Description: partial 16S ribosomal RNA
Rfam family: Bacterial small subunit ribosomal RNA
Source: RNAcentral
AAAUUGAAGAGUUUGAUCAUGGCUCAGAUUGAACGCUGGCGGCAGGCCUAACACAUGCAAGUCGAACGGUAACAGAAAGCAGCUUGCUGCUUUGCUGACGAGUGGCGGACGGGUGAGUAAUGUCUGGGAAACUGCCUGAUGGAGGGGGAUAACUACUGGAAACGGUGGCUAAUACCGCAUAACGUCGCAAGACCAAAGAGGGGGACCUUCGGGCCUCUUGCCAUCAGAUGUGCCCAGAUGGGAUUAGCUAGUUGGUGAGGUAACGGCUCACCAAGGCGACGAUCC